UGGAUAGCUCAGUCUGUAGAGCAUGAAACACUUAAUCUCACAGUUGUGGGUUCAAGUCCCACAUUGGACAA
Molecule: non-coding RNA, 71 nt
Organism: Podarcis lilfordi (Lilford's wall lizard)
Lineage: Eukaryota; Metazoa; Chordata; Lepidosauria; Squamata; Lacertidae
Source: the annotation of a GenBank genome assembly